RNAcentral lists this ribosomal RNA (504 nucleotides) under uncultured bacterium. Its description in RNAcentral is "partial 16S ribosomal RNA". It matches the Rfam family "Bacterial small subunit ribosomal RNA", at positions 28 to 523 of the family's 1533-position model. The record is from RNAcentral.
GAUGAACGCUAGCGGCAGGCUUAACACAUGCAAGUCGAGGGGCAGCAUAAAUAGUAGCAAUACUAUUGGUGGCGACCGGCGGACGGGUGCGUAACGCGUAUACAACCUUCCCUAAACAGGGGGAUAAUCUGGAGAAAUUCGGUCUAAUACCCCAUAACAUCAGAGCAGGCAUCUGUUUUGGUUAAAAUUUCCGGAGGUUUAGGAUGGGUAUGCGUAGCAUUAGCUAGUUGGUGAGGUAACGGCUCACCAAGGCGACGAUGCGUAGGGGGACUGAGAGGUUAACCCCCCACACUGGUACUGAGACACGGACCAGACUCCUACGGGAGGCAGCAGUGAGGAAUAUUGGUCAAUGGGCGGAAGCCUGAACCAGCCAUGCCGCGUGCAGGAUGACGGCUCUAUGAGUUGUAAACUGCUUUUGUACGAGGGUAAAGUGGGCUACGUGUAGCCUUUUGAAGGUAUCGUACGAAUAAGGAUCGGCUAACUCCGUGCCAGCCGCCGCGGUAA